RNAcentral lists this ribosomal RNA (818 nucleotides) under Eugaster cf. nigripes E03. RNAcentral describes it as "SSU rRNA". It matches the Rfam family "Eukaryotic small subunit ribosomal RNA", at positions 540 to 1272 of the family's 1831-position model. RNAcentral also lists the same sequence under 2 other names. Lineage: Eukaryota; Metazoa; Arthropoda; Insecta; Orthoptera; Tettigoniidae. The record is from RNAcentral.
AGUAUCCAUUGGAGGGCAAGUCUGGUGCCAGCAGCCGCGGUAAUUCCAGCUCCAAUAGCGUAUAUUAAAGUUGUUGCGGUUAAAAAGCUCGUAGUUGGAUUUGUGUCCCACGCUGUCGGUUCAUCGCUCGUCGGUGUCUAACUGGCAUGAUACGUGGGACGUCCUGCCGGUGGUGGCGAGUCGAAGGCGUGCACCCGUCGCGGUUCCACCGCGUGCGGUUCUUGUGCGCCGGAGGCGGACCCCGAUGAAAUCCUACCGCGGUGCUCUUCGCCGAGUGUCGAGGUGGGCCGGCACGUUUACUUUGAACAAAUUAGAGUGCUUAAAGCAGGCCUGUUGCGCCUGAAUACUGUGUGCAUGGAAUAAUGGAAUAGGACCUCGGUUCUAUUUUGUUGGUUUUCGGAACCAGAGGUAAUGAUUAAUAGGGACAGGCGGGGGCAUUCGUAUUGCGACGUUAGAGGUGAAAUUCUUGGAUCGUCGCAAGACGGACCGAAGCGAAAGCAUUUGCCAAGUAUGUUUUCAUUAAUCAAGAACGAAAGUUAGAGGUUCGAAGGCGAUCAGAUACCGCCCUAGUUCUAACCAUAAACGAUGCCAGCUAGCGAUCCGCCGAAGUUCCUCCGAUGACUCGGCGGGCAGCUCCCGGGAAACCAAAGCUUUUGGGUUCCGGGGGAAGUAUGGUUGCAAAGCUGAAACUUAAAGGAAUUGACGGAAGGGCACCACCAGGAGUGGAGCCUGCGGCUUAAUUUGACUCAACACGGGAAACCUCACCAGGCCCGGACACCGGAAGGAUUGACAGAUUGAGAGCUCUUUCUGAUUCGGUG